UACGUAGGAUCCAAGCGUUGUCCGGAUUUACUGGGUGUAAAGGGUGCGCAGGCGGGCUGGUAAGUCAGUUGUGAAAUCUCGGCGCUCAACGCCGAAACGUCUUUUGAUACUACCAGUCUUGAAUAAGCGAGAGAUCCGUGGAAUUCCGAGUGUAGCAGUGAAAUGUGUAGAUAUUCGGAAGAACACCAGAGGCGAAGGCAGCGGGUUGGCGCUUUAUUGACGCUCAGGCACGAAAGCAUGGGGAUCAAACAGG
RNAcentral lists this ribosomal RNA (253 nucleotides) under uncultured bacterium. Its description in RNAcentral is "partial 16S ribosomal RNA". It matches the Rfam family "Bacterial small subunit ribosomal RNA", at positions 524 to 776 of the family's 1533-position model. The record is from RNAcentral.